This 407-nucleotide ribosomal RNA is filed under the name uncultured bacterium. Its description in RNAcentral is "partial 16S ribosomal RNA". It matches the Rfam family "Bacterial small subunit ribosomal RNA", at positions 28 to 526 of the family's 1533-position model. The record is from RNAcentral.
GACGAACGCUGGCGGCGUGCCUAAUACAUGCAAGUAGGACGCAGUUGCGAACGGGUGAGUAACGCGUAGGUAACUACCUAUUAGAGGGGGAUAACUAUUGGAAACGAUAGCUCAUACCGCAUACUAGUAGAUGGACCUGCUUUGUAUUAGGUAGUAGGUAGGGUAAUAGCCUACCUAGGCAACGAUACAUAGCCGACCUGGGAGGGUGAUCGGCCAAACUGGGACUGAGAAAAGGCCCAGAAUCCCACGGGAGGCAGCAGUAGGGAAGCUUCGGAAAUGGGGGGAACCCUGAACGAGCAACGCCGCGUGAGUGAAGAAGGUUUUCGGAUCGUAAAGCUCUGUUGUUAAGGAAGCGGUACUUAACCAGAAAGGGACGGCUAACUACGUGCCAGCAGCCGCGGUAAUUC